This 254-nucleotide ribosomal RNA is filed under the name uncultured bacterium. RNAcentral's name for it is "partial 16S ribosomal RNA". It matches the Rfam family "Bacterial small subunit ribosomal RNA", at positions 524 to 777 of the family's 1533-position model. The record is from RNAcentral.
UACAGAGGUGGCAAGCGUUGUUCGGAAUUACUGGGCGUAAAGGGCGCGUAGGCGGCCUUCUAAGUCAGACGUGAAAUCCCCCGGCUUAACCUGGGAACUGCGUCUGAUACUGGGAGGCUUGAGUAUGGGAGAGGGAUGUAGAAUUCCAGGUGUAGCGGUGAAAUGCGUAGAUAUCUGGAGGAAUACCGGUGGCGAAGGCGGCAUCCUGGACCAUAACUGACGCUGAGGCGCGAAAGCUAGGGGAGCCAAACGGG